This 510-nucleotide ribosomal RNA is filed under the name uncultured bacterium. RNAcentral's name for it is "bacterial SSU rRNA". It matches the Rfam family "Bacterial small subunit ribosomal RNA", at positions 15 to 518 of the family's 1533-position model. The record is from RNAcentral.
GAUCCUGGCUUAGGAUGAACGCUAGCGACAGGCUUAACACAUGCAAGUCGAGGGGCAGCAUAAAAGUAGCAAUACUUGGUGGCGACCGGCGCACGGGUGAGUAACGCGUAUGCAACCUACCUAUCAGAGGGGAAUAACCCGGCGAAAGUCGGACUAAUACCGCAUAAAACAGGGGCACCGCAUGGUGAUAUUUGUUAAAGAAAUUCGCUGAUAGAUGGGCAUGCGUUCCAUUAGGUAGUUGGUGAGGUAACGGCUCACCAAGCCGACGAUGGAUAGGGGAACUGAGAGGUUGGUCCCCCACACUGGUACUGAGACACGGACCAGACUCCUACGGGAGGCAGCAGUGAGGAAUAUUGGUCAAUGGGCGGGAGCCUGAACCAGCCAAGUCGCGUGAAGGAAGAAGGAUCUAUGGUUCGUAAACUUCUUUUGCAGGGGAAUAAAGUGCAGGACGUGUCCUGUUUUGUAUGUACCCUGAGAAUAAGGAUCGGCUAACUCCGUGCCAGCAGCCGC